Molecule: transfer RNA, 72 nt
Filed under: Chthonomonadaceae bacterium
Lineage: Bacteria; Bacillati; Armatimonadota; Chthonomonadia; Chthonomonadales; Chthonomonadaceae
Rfam family: tRNA
About the family: Transfer RNA (tRNA) molecules are approximately 80 nucleotides in length. Their secondary structure includes four short double-helical elements and three loops (D, anti-codon, and T loops).
Source: Rfam by way of RNAcentral
GCUUCUAUCGUUCAGCGGCAAAGACCCCCGGUUGUCAACCGGAAAACUGGAGUUCGAUUCUCCGUAGGAGCG